RNAcentral lists this ribosomal RNA (641 nucleotides) under bacterium EA10-8. RNAcentral describes it as "bacterial SSU rRNA". It matches the Rfam family "Bacterial small subunit ribosomal RNA", at positions 82 to 736 of the family's 1533-position model. The record is from RNAcentral.
UGUGGGUGGAUUAGUGGCGAACGGGUGAGUAACACGUGAGUAACCUGCCCUUAACUCUGGGAUAAGCCUGGGAAACUGGGUCUAAUACCGGAUAUGACUCCUCAUCGCAUGGUGGGGGGUGGAAAGCUUUUUGUGGUUUUGGAUGGACUCGCGGCCUAUCAGCUUGUUGGUGAGGUAAUGGCUCACCAAGGCGACGACGGGUAGCCGGCCUGAGAGGGUGACCGGCCACACUGGGACUGAGACACGGCCCAGACUCCUACGGGAGGCAGCAGUGGGGAAUAUUGCACAAUGGGCGAAAGCCUGAUGCAGCGACGCCGCGUGAGGGAUGACGGCCUUCGGGUUGUAAACCUCUUUCAGUAGGGAAGAAGCGAAAGUGACGGUACCUGCAGAAGAAGCGCCGGCUAACUACGUGCCAGCAGCCGCGGUAAUACGUAGGGCGCAAGCGUUAUCCGGAAUUAUUGGGCGUAAAGAGCUCGUAGGCGGUUUGUCGCGUCUGCCGUGAAAGUCCGGGGCUCAACUCCGGAUCUGCGGUGGGUACGGGCAGACUAGAGUGAUGUAGGGGAGACUGGAAUUCCUGGUGUAGCGGUGAAAUGCGCAGAUAUCAGGAGGAACACCGAUGGCGAAGGCAGGUCUCUGGGCAU